AUGCGGAUAAUAUAUAGCCUUGCAAAGUUUGCCGUUUUCAGUCAUUUUGUAUUACAAAUGGGAAAUUGAUAAUCAGUUUGAUAAUGUGAUUAUCAAUUACCCGUUUGUAAUGCAAAAUGACUGAAAAACGGCAAACUUCGCAAGGCUAUAUUAUCCGCAUUU
RNAcentral lists this microRNA precursor (162 nucleotides) under Paramuricea clavata. The record is from RNAcentral. Lineage: Eukaryota; Metazoa; Cnidaria; Anthozoa; Malacalcyonacea; Plexauridae.